UGGCAAUGUUGGAAUGGGAUAGAUGGG
Molecule: non-coding RNA, 27 nt
Filed under: Mus musculus (house mouse)
Lineage: Eukaryota; Metazoa; Chordata; Mammalia; Rodentia; Muridae
Source: RNAcentral